CUGCCUGGUAGUGGGGGAUAAUCGGAAACGCGCUAAUACGUCCUACGGGAGAAAGCAGGGGACCUUCGGGCCCGGUGCGCUAUCAGAUGAGCCUAGGUCGGAUUAGCUAGUUGGUGGGGUAAUGGCUCACCAAGGCGACGACGUAACUGGUCUGAGAGGAUGAUCCACACUGGAACUGAGACACGGUCCAGACUCCUACGGGAGGCAGCAGUGGGGAAUAUUGGACAAUGGGCGAAAGCCUGAUCCAGCCAUGCCGCGUGUGUGAAGAAGGUCUUCGGAUAAUUGUGCUUGUAAAGCACUUUAAGUUGGCCAGGAAGGGCAGUUACCUAAUACGUGAUUGUUUUGACGUUACCGACAGAAUAAGCACCGGCUAACUUGCCAGCAGCCGCGGUAAUACAGAGGGUGCAAGUAAUCGGAAUUACUGGGCGUAAAGCGCGCGUAGGUGUUGUUAAGUUGGAUGUGAAAUCCCCGGGCUCAACCUGGGAACUGCAUUCAAAACUGACUUAGAGUAUGGUAGGGUGGUGGAAUUUCCUGUGUAGCGGUGAAAUGCGUAGAUACCUGUAGGAAGGAACACCAGUGGCGAAGGCGACCAGGUCCUGGACUAAUACUGACACUGAGGUGCGAAAGCGUGGGCAAACAAUUAGAUCCAAGGUACCCUGGUAGACGCCGUAAACGAUGUCACGUUGG
This 687-nucleotide ribosomal RNA is filed under the name Pseudomonas sp. CECRI-3. RNAcentral's name for it is "bacterial SSU rRNA". It matches the Rfam family "Bacterial small subunit ribosomal RNA", at positions 126 to 820 of the family's 1533-position model. The record is from RNAcentral. Lineage: Bacteria; Pseudomonadati; Pseudomonadota; Gammaproteobacteria; Pseudomonadales; Pseudomonadaceae.